Molecule: unclassified non-coding RNA, 268 nt
Filed under: Hevea brasiliensis (rubber tree)
Lineage: Eukaryota; Viridiplantae; Streptophyta; Magnoliopsida; Malpighiales; Euphorbiaceae
Source: RNAcentral
CUGAAUUCAGGCAGGUUUAUCAAGCAUGUAAUGUAAAAUAACAACCGAGGAUCAGAAUAACAGACCAGGUCUAGUUUCAUUCGCUAGCAUGUGCAUGAGUGCAUCAGAAUAUGAAGAUGUGGUGUUUAACGAAGGUUGGUUCAUCUUAAUAUGAGGAUGUAAAUUUGCGAUUCUAUCUACUUUAAAAUAACGAACAUAAGAUUGUUCGCGUUCGAAAAUAUAACAUUGUAUUUGGAAAAAAUCAAUGCGAAAUUAUUUCAUUAGCAAA